GACUCAAGGUUGUCAGUGGAGCACCUGUCAGAAGCUGGAGAUUUGAUCCAGAGUCUUGAUGAAUCAAAAAUCUUGAGCAGGCUGAACGCUCAAGAGGAUGAAUACAGUGCUGAGAGUCCCAGAUGGUCACUUGACCUGUCAGUCACUCAUGGAGUUGUCUUUUUGUCUUUGAACUCCUCAGAGAAGAAUCUGUCAUUUCCAGCAGUCUUAAACAUCAGUCUUACAUGUCCACAAUCAGAG
Molecule: long non-coding RNA, 240 nt
Organism: Sinocyclocheilus anshuiensis
Lineage: Eukaryota; Metazoa; Chordata; Actinopteri; Cypriniformes; Cyprinidae
Exons: 3
Source: RefSeq, a predicted model, not a curated record